AACGAACGCUGGCGGCAUGCCUAACACAUGCAAGUCGAACGGUGCCUUCGGGCACAGUGGCGCACGGGUGAGUAACACGUGGGAACAUACCCUUUGGUGCGGAACAACAGCUGGAAACGGCUGCUAAUACCGCAUGCGCCCUACGGGGGAAAGAUUUAUCGCCGAAGGAUUGGCCCGCGUCUGAUUAGCUAGUUGGUGAGGUAAUGGCUCACCAAGGCGACGAUCAGUAGCUGGUCUGAGAGGAUGAUCAGCCACACUGGGACUGAGACACGGCCCAGACUCCUACGGGAGGCAGCAGUGGGGAAUAUUGGACAAUGGGCGCAAGCCUGAUCCAGCCAUGCCGCGUGAGUGAUGAAGGCCCUAGGGUUGUAAAGCUCUUUCAGCGAGGAGGAUAAUGACGUUACUCGCAGAAGAAGCCCCGGCUAACUUCGUGCCAGCAGCCGCG
This 445-nucleotide ribosomal RNA is filed under the name uncultured bacterium. RNAcentral's name for it is "bacterial SSU rRNA". It matches the Rfam family "Bacterial small subunit ribosomal RNA", at positions 29 to 519 of the family's 1533-position model. The record is from RNAcentral.